Molecule: ribosomal RNA, 464 nt
Filed under: uncultured bacterium
Lineage: Bacteria
Description: bacterial SSU rRNA
Rfam family: Bacterial small subunit ribosomal RNA
Source: RNAcentral
AAUCAACGCUGGCGGCGUGCCUCAGACAUGCAAGUCGAACGCGAAAGUCCCCUUCGGGGGACGAAGUAGAGUGGCGCACGGGUGAGUAACACGUAGGUAAUCUACCUUUGGAUGGGGAAUAACAACCGGAAACGGUUGCUAAUACCGCAUAAUGCAGCGGCACCUAAUGGUGACAGUUGUUAAAGCGGGGGAUCGAAAGACCUCGCGUCUAAAGAGGAGCCUGCGGCGGAUUAGCUAGUUGGUAAGGAAUGGCUUACCAAGGCUACGAUCCGUAACCGGCCUGAGAGGGCGGUCGGUCACACUGACACUGACAUACGGGUCAGACUCCUACGGGAGGCAGCAGUCGGGAAUUUUGGGCAAUGGGCGAAAGCCUGACCCAGCAACGCCGCGUGAAGGAUGAAAUCCCUCGGGAUGUAAACUUCGCAAGAACGGGAAGAAUAAGUAGGGGACAAUACCCCCUAUGA